UUCUUUAAGGUAAAUAAUUUAAAGUAAAACCUGCUCAAUGAAUUCAAUAUUAAAUAGCCGCAGAAUACCUGUGCUAAGGUAGCAUAAUAAUUUGCUUUAUAAUUAAAAGAUAGAAUGAAAGGUUAAACGAUUAGUAAUUGUUUCUUAAAUAAUAAUUAAUUUGUAUUUUAAGUAAAAACACUUAAAUUAAAAGACUAGACGACAAGACCCUAAUAAACUUAUCUAUUUAGCUGGGGUAGCAAAUUAAUAAAAUUUUAUAAUAUAAUCAUUACACAAAUUUUAAUUAAAUCAAGACUAGUUACUAUAGGGAUAACAGCGUAAUAUUUUUUUAGAGUUCUUAUCAAAAAAAAAGAUUACGACCUCGAUGUUGAAUUAUUUUCCUAAUUAUAACGUAACCGUUAAUUAAGGUAGUCUGUUCGACUAUUAAAUUUUU
Molecule: ribosomal RNA, 433 nt
Filed under: Wanniyala sp. SL17
Lineage: Eukaryota; Metazoa; Arthropoda; Arachnida; Araneae; Pholcidae
Description: partial 16S ribosomal RNA
Source: RNAcentral